Gorilla gorilla gorilla (western lowland gorilla) is the source of this 1192-nucleotide long non-coding RNA. RefSeq lists it as uncharacterized. The transcript is spliced from 5 exons. The record is from RefSeq and is a predicted model, not a curated record. Lineage: Eukaryota; Metazoa; Chordata; Mammalia; Primates; Hominidae.
ACCACAAUGAUCUUGGAGCCAAAGCGUCUGUGGUCACCAUGUAUACACAGACAUAGACGCAUUGUCUUCUACUUCCGAAGAUGAUUUUGUCAGCAGAUUUUUCCCCCUUUGUGCCCACACUGUGGCAAACGUAAGAGGACAUGAAUGGUUGGCGGUGCAGUGUGGUGGAAGUGCAUUGCAGUGGAUCCCAAGGAAACCAGAGGCAAAUUCUGGCUCUGCCACUAGCAAGGCUCUGUGGCUAGGGUACCCCUGUGGAAUUCAGCCUCCUCAUCCGUGAAAUGAAGAAGUGAAACAAAAACAUCUUAAUAUUAUUUCUAACACUUGCUUUCUCUGGAUUCAGCAUCAGAAUAUAUCCAGAUAAGACUGCAAACAACUGAGAGAGCUAAUUCUUUGCUGUUGGUAAUGAGAAUUAGACUACCAUCAAACUCUUCACCCACAACCCUAGAAGCCAGUAGACAGUGGAGGAAUAUCUGCAACCACUAAGAAGAAAGGCUGCCAUCCAGGACUCCUAUUCCCAGGAAAGAUAUCAGUCACUCAUCGAGGGUGAACUCUGAUACUUAGUGUCAAUAAAAACUCUAUGGUGCCCUGGACAUUUCAGAUAACAGAUCAUCCAGAUGAGGAAAACUGAGGCACAGAGAGGUAACGAACCUGGCCCAAGUCAUAUACUUCUACUAAACUGUGAGAAACAUCAGAACAAGAACUGAAGAUGUCUUCGGUUUUUUUUGUUACUGUUUGUUUGAGACGGAGUCUCACUCUGUCACCACGCUGGAGUGCGGUGGCAACCUCUCAGCUCGCUGCAACCUCCACCUCCCGGGUUCAAGCGAUUCUCCUGCCUCAGCCUCCCGAGUAGCUGGGGCUACAGGUGCAUGCCAUCAUGCCCAGCUAAUUUCUGCAUUUUUAGUAGAGACGGGGUUUCACCAUGUUGGCCAGGAUAGUCUCGAUCUCUUGACCUUGUGAUCUGCCCGCCUCAGCCUAAAGAUGCCUUCUUUGCAAGUAUCUUUGCAAUGCUCCACAACUAUUUAUUGAAUGAACAAGUGUUUGAAGAAUCCUUGACUUUUGGAGGAACCAUAUGACCUUGGGAAUGCUCACCAAUGACAGUUUUUCACUCUGAAUCAUAAUGUGAGAGCAGAAAAUUAUCAAAACGUGUUUGUAUUUCACAUUGAAAUUAAUUGAAUAAAUAUAUAAUUCAUCA